CAUUAAUCCCCGUGUCUGUCCCAGGAGAAGCUGUCUCCAACCUCGGACCUUGUAUAGGAUAACAGUGCCCUGGCGUCACAAAGUGAUAAGAGCUGUCAGUGUUCGUACUACAGGUUUUCAAGCACAAUCCAUUUUUUAUGAGGCUGAUCUUGGCGACAGCUUUAUUUCACAAAGCAAUCUUAAACUUUGUCUGGCAGGAGAUGGGUCGCAAAAGGUCAAAUAUUCUGUGCAGCCAUUUAUUAACCAUCUGAUGACUAAAAAGUCCCUUAAGGUCCACAUAUGACUCUAAGGUUUCUAUAUACAUGGCAUUCAAUGAGUUCAGGAAGUGGCCAGGAAUCAUGUGACUGUAGACCAAGAUCAACUCCAUGGUGAGUGUAAAAAAUCCCAGGAUACCCUGGAGAAAAUGGACGCUAUGCGGCGCACACCAAUGGCACACAUGGGU
Hyla sarda is the source of this 442-nucleotide long non-coding RNA. RefSeq lists it as uncharacterized. The record is from RefSeq and is a predicted model, not a curated record. NCBI's taxonomy places the organism in Eukaryota, Metazoa, Chordata, Amphibia, Anura, Hylidae. The transcript has 3 exons.